AUUGAACGCUGGCGGCAUGCCUUACACAUGCAAGUCGAACGGCAGCAUGGGUGCUUGCACCUGAUGGCGAGUGGCGAACGGGUGAGUAAUGCAUCGGAACGUACCCGGAAGUGGGGGAUAACGUAGCGAAAGUUACGCUAAUACCGCAUAUUCUGUGAGCAGGAAAGCGGGGGAUCGCAAGACCUCGCGCUUCCGGAGCGGCCGAUGUCGGAUUAGCUAGUUGGCGGGGUAAAGGCCCACCAAGGCAACGAUCCGUAGCGGGUCUGAGAGGAUGAUCCGCCACACUGGGACUGAGACACGGCCCAGACUCCUACGGGAGGCAGCAGUAGGGAAUAUUGGACAAUGGGGGCGAACCCUGAUCCAGCCAUGCCGCGUGAGUGAAGAAGGCCCUCGGGUUGUAAAGCUCUUUUGUCCGGAAGAAAAGCAAUCGGUUAAUACCCGGUUGUUCUGACGUACCGGAAGAAUAAGCACCGGCUAACUUCGUGCCAGCAGCCGCGGUAAG
This 502-nucleotide ribosomal RNA is filed under the name uncultured bacterium. RNAcentral's name for it is "bacterial SSU rRNA". It matches the Rfam family "Bacterial small subunit ribosomal RNA", at positions 30 to 524 of the family's 1533-position model. The record is from RNAcentral.